This 253-nucleotide ribosomal RNA is filed under the name uncultured bacterium. RNAcentral's name for it is "partial 16S ribosomal RNA". It matches the Rfam family "Bacterial small subunit ribosomal RNA", at positions 524 to 776 of the family's 1533-position model. The record is from RNAcentral.
UACAGAGGUCUCAAGCGUUGUUCGGAUUCAUUGGGCGUAAAGGGUGCGUAGGCGGCGCGGUAAGUCGGGUGUGAAAUCUCGGAGCUUAACUCCGAAACUGCAUUCGAUACUACCGUGCUUGAGGACUGGAGAGGAGACUGGAAUUUACGGUGUAGCGGUGAAAUGCGUAGAUAUCGUAAGGAAGACCAGUGGCGAAGGCGGGUCUCUGGACAGUUCCUGACGCUGAGGCACGAAGGCCAGGGGAGCAAACGGG